This is a long non-coding RNA of Amblyraja radiata (thorny skate), 416 nucleotides long. RefSeq lists it as uncharacterized. The transcript has 2 exons. The record is from RefSeq and is a predicted model, not a curated record. NCBI's taxonomy places the organism in Eukaryota, Metazoa, Chordata, Chondrichthyes, Rajiformes, Rajidae.
CGCCAUCUUGGGAAUCAAAGAUACCAGAGCUUUGGUGUGAAUCGGCUUCAGUCAUGGCAUCCACAUCUACAAGCUGUUCUGCUAUAAAGUGCUCGAAUCGCCAAUGUAGAUGACCCGACCCGAUCUGUCUUCAGGUUCCCCACAAAAAACGAAAGAUGUCGAGAGUGGAUCCAGAAUACUCGUCAACCAGUUCUCCUACAUGGAACUACAGAGUACUUGUCGUCUUUGUUCUGAACACUUCAAACUUGACCAGUUUUCCAACAAGCAAACCAAGAACAGGCUAAAUUGGAAUUGUACAUGACUUUCAUUGGUUAGCUGAUAUGCGAAACACUGCAACCCUGUAUAUCUCGCACACAAAACAAUGUAAAUUAUGUAAAUCUUACCAUGAAUGACAGAAAUAAAAAGUGUUAUCCUUG